GGGGGUGGUCUUUGAUGUUCUGAUUAAACUUCAGGCUUGGUAGGAACUGUGUCCCUGCAUCUCCACAGUGUAGACUACACAAGUGCCCUCUCGCAGCUGUAGUACUAGUAUGUGUCUAGUAUGUAUUCCUGCAACUUCCCCUAGGGACUGUGUGGGGUUUUGUUCUUGUUUGUUUGGUUUGGUUCCCCCGCCGCUGUUCUUUUCCCCAGCUGGUUUGGGUUUCACCCAAUGGUCUAAGGGCCCCAGCUACCAAUUUUUAUUGUUUUUCCCCUACAGAUCAAGGUUUGUUCUCUACAGGGAAGAUGGGGGAGACACUUCUCUGCAAAUUUCCACAGCAGCUGGUGUUUCCCUCCCCCACCACAAGGAAAGCUUCUUCCAGAUUUUCCUCAGUCUUCUCUGUGAGCACCUGAAAUAACUCCUGAAUAUGCCACCUGUGAGAUAUGAGAAGGCUACAGAGAAGAAAUCUUUUUACCCCAUUUCCAUCAGUUUGAUAUUAGCAUCAAAGCAAAGCUCUGAUGAAAGCACAGAUACUCACAUUCAAAAAGAUGGCAUGAUCCAACAUCAUCUCACUGGUCACUCCCUUACACCCUUUCUCCCAGGAGGAACCCUGAGAGCACCACCUCUUUGGAAGAGCCAGGACACAGUUUGCAAACCACUGCCACAAAAUGUAAACGUAUAGAAUUUGAGACUACGUGCCAUCUUCUAAAGGUGGAACUCUUUAUUGGAAUUCGGAAACAAAACGAGAAUGGCUCUAAUAAUUUUCUGUCUUCUUUUAACAGUAAUUUCAUCUAAUUUCAAUAAAGAUUUGAAAAAGUGUAUACAUUCAGAAAAAGAUGAUAAGAUGUGAAAAUAUUUGAGUAUUGUACCAGUUAAAAGAGUUAUUAUUGAUUGCUUAUUCACUAUAAAUGGAGCUACACUCUAGUUUGAUAAUUCAGAAGAAAAAUGUGUUGACCCUGCCGCUCAAUAAUAAAAUAAAUAACAACAAAAGAACAAGAAGAAUCAUUUAAUGUCAGACUAUACUUUGAUAAAGUUGAUGAUGCUGAAACUUUGACGGCUCCUGUAUUUAAGGAUGGUAUUUUACUUCUCUGAAAUCUUGAAGGCACUGGCCAAUACAGAUCGAAUAGGUAGUGAUGCUUAGCUGCAGUGCUCCAGUAUCCAGCAUCCUUAUUUUUUAACUCGUACUGCUUUAUUUUAGUGCUGAGAUUCC
Molecule: long non-coding RNA, 1207 nt
Filed under: Equus caballus (horse)
Lineage: Eukaryota; Metazoa; Chordata; Mammalia; Perissodactyla; Equidae
Description: lncRNA (ENSECAG00000053202.1)
Source: RNAcentral